CCCUUAGAGUUUGAUCCUGGCUCAUAAUGAACGCUGGCGGCGUGCUUUACACAUGCAAGUCGAGCGAGGCGGCCCGCAAGGGCCAGUCGAGCGGCGAACGGGUGAGUAACACGUGGAUCAUCUGCCCAGAGGUGGGGGAUAACCCGGGGAAACUCGGGCUAAUACCGCAUAUGACCGGAAGGUCAAAGGGGGGUCGCAAGAUCUCUCGCCAUUGGAGGAGUCCGCGUCCGAUUAGCUAGUUGGUAGGGUAAUGGCCUACCAAGGCGACGAUCGGUAGCCGGCCUGAGAGGGUGAUCGGCCACACUGGAACUGAGACACGGUCCAGACUCCUACGGGAGGCAGCAGUGGGGAAUUUUGCGCAAUGGGCUAACGCCUGACGCAGCAACGCCGCGUGGAGGAUGAAGGUCUUUGGAUUGUAAACUCCUGUCAGCAGGGAAAAAGCGACUCGUGCUCAUACCACGGGGAGUUGAUUGUACCUGCAGAGGAAGCCCCGGCUAACUCUGUGCCAGCAGCCGCGGUAAUACAGAGGGGGCAAGCGUUAUUCGGAAUUAUUGGGCGUAAAGGGCGCGUAGGCGGCCUGGCAAGUGGAAGGUGAAAUCCCUCGGCUUAACCGAGGAACUGCCUUCCAUACUGCUUGGCUUGAGACCAGGAGAGGUGAGUGGAAUUCCCAGUGUAGCGGUGAAAUGCGUAGAUAUUGGGAGGAACACAGUGGCGAAAGCGGCUCACUGGACUGGUACUGACGCUGAGCGCGAAAGCGUGGGGAGCAAACGGGAUAGAUACCCCGGUAGUCCACGCCGUAAACGAUGAGUGCUUGGUGUAGCGGGUAUCGAC
RNAcentral lists this ribosomal RNA (831 nucleotides) under uncultured bacterium. RNAcentral describes it as "bacterial SSU rRNA". It matches the Rfam family "Bacterial small subunit ribosomal RNA", at positions 1 to 836 of the family's 1533-position model. The record is from RNAcentral.